Molecule: RNase MRP RNA, 171 nt
Filed under: Tetraselmis astigmatica
Lineage: Eukaryota; Viridiplantae; Chlorophyta; Chlorodendrophyceae; Chlorodendrales; Chlorodendraceae
Description: partial RNase MRP
Rfam family: RNase MRP
About the family: RNase MRP is an enzymatically active ribonucleoprotein with two distinct roles in eukaryotes. In mitochondria it plays a direct role in the initiation of mitochondrial DNA replication.
Source: RNAcentral
AUGUUACACCGGGCGAAAGUCCCCGGGCGCUGAGGCAGAAAGUGUCAGCUCGCAAGGGCAGGACCUCCCUGGGCCACCCGUCAGGGGCCGGCCGGGGUGCAGCUCGCCAUAGUUACAGUUAUGUGGCCAGUAGGGAAACAACCUACCAACUCAACGGGGCUUACUCUUGUG